GCACCCUUGGUGCUGGUAAAAGACAAUAGCCCUUCUAACACUACUAGCACUCCUAAUUCAGAGACUUUCAGCCAUGUUUCUAUACCUAAGACUGCUAAGGGUGUUAACAAUGAUAGUUCGGAGACAAUUUUGUCUGGUCCAGCCGCCUCCCAUGCCAAUCCCAGCACCGAGGGUGAGGGCAGACAGGAUCCAGCCUUACGUCCCUUAAGGCUAAGCUGAGGCUCUCCAGCCAUUGUCCUCAUGCCCUGAAGACUCGGAAGAGCUAGCCUGUCCACCCGCCAGUUCACCAUCCCAUUCACUGCCUCAUUCAGCUUUCCAUGCCCUAGCACAAUCUCUGGUUAGGCUAGCCAACUUAUUUCCAGCUCAAGCACCAGGUUUGCUCGCCCAGGCUGCAGCUUUGUCUCCUUCGAUAACCCAGUCUUCAGCUCAGCCAUUAGCCUCCCCAGUCCAGUCAGUUCUGGCCUGGCUGCUCCUCACCCAUAGGUUUCCGCACCUGCUGGCCCCACCUGUCUUCAGCCAGAGGUUUCCACACCUGCUGGCCCUGCAGCUGCUCCUCCGCCUCCGCCAGCUCCCCCGCCGUCGCCUGCAGCUGCUUAAAUAAAAUGAUUUUGAACUAUGGAAGGUUGAGUGUGGCCUACUAGCUGUCACUGAUUUGGUUUUGUUUCUAUGUUUAUGUUUUAUUAAAG
Molecule: long non-coding RNA, 686 nt
Organism: Oreochromis aureus
Lineage: Eukaryota; Metazoa; Chordata; Actinopteri; Cichliformes; Cichlidae
Source: Ensembl